GUGAAGCUGCUGUCUGAUCUUGUGGAGAGUCCACACUGUAGACUGGAGACUCUGAGCUGGAAGGGGGUGUGAUCUCUGUCAGAGUGAGUUAUCAGAAAAGUGGAUGUGUUGAGAGGAUCAGCCGUGUCCUGAUGAUCCACAGAGGUUCACCACCUGGACCUGCAUCUGAUUUUGUCUUUGUUUAUUCAUUCAUAUAUUCUGAACCCAAAGUGCCUCUGCAGAAUAGUUCAGUUCAUGACAACAUAACUGUAGAUGAACACAUUUAAAUAGAUCUUUCUGCUCUGCUUUGUGUCGCAGCUCCACCCUGUGGAACGAUGGAGUUUUGCUGUUUACUUCCACAUAUUUCUAAAUAAGUUAAUAAAGUUACCCUAUUAAAACCGAGCCCUCAGGAAGAGCGUCUGCAUAUGACAUGAUAACUGA
Molecule: long non-coding RNA, 420 nt
Organism: Sebastes umbrosus (honeycomb rockfish)
Lineage: Eukaryota; Metazoa; Chordata; Actinopteri; Perciformes; Sebastidae
Exons: 2
Source: RefSeq, a predicted model, not a curated record